UGGUGAAAUCCCAGAGCUUAACUCUGGAACUGCCAUCAAAACUUUUCAGCUAGAGUAUGAUAGAGGAAAGCAGAAUUUCUAGUGUAGAGGUGAAAUUCGUAGAUAUUAGAAAGAAUACCCAAUUGCGAAGGCAGCUUUCUGGAUCAUUACUGACACUGAGGAACGAAAGCAUGGGUAGCGAAGAGGAUUAGAUACCCUCGUAGUCCAUGCCGUAAACGAUGUGUGUUAGACGUUGGAAAUUUAUUUUCAGUGUCGCAGCGAAAGCGAUAAACACACCGCCUGGGGAGUACGACCGCAAGGUUAAAACUCAAAUGAAUUGACGGGGACCCGCACAAGUAGUGGAGCAUGUGGUUUAAUUCGAAGAUACGCGCAGAACCUUACCAACACUUGACAUGUUCGUCGCGACUCUAAGAGAUUGGAGUUUUCGGUUCGGCCGGACGAAACACAGGUGCUGCAUGGCUGUCGUCAGCUCGUGUCGUGAGAUGUUGGGUUAAGUCCCGCAACGAGCGCAACCCUCACUUUUAGUUGCCAUCAUUAAGUUGGGCACUCUGAAAGAACUGCCAGUGAUAAGCUGGAGGAAGGUGGGGAUGACGUCAAGUCCUCAUGGCCCUUACGUGUUGGGCUACACACGUGCUACAAUGGUAUCUACAACAGGAAGCAAGACUGCGAAGUUAAGCAAAUCCUUAAAAGAUACCUCAGUUCGGAUUGCACUCUGCAACUCGAGUGCAUGAAGCUGGAAUUACUAGUAAUCGUGGAUCAGCGUGCCACGGUGAAUGCGUUCCCGGGUCUUGUACACACCGCCCGUCACACCAUGGGAGUUGGUUCUACCUUAAGGCAAGGUUUAAAACCCUUGACCACGGUAUAGUCAGCGACUGGGGUGAAGUCGUAACAAGGU
RNAcentral lists this ribosomal RNA (895 nucleotides) under marine metagenome. RNAcentral's name for it is "bacterial SSU rRNA". It matches the Rfam family "Bacterial small subunit ribosomal RNA", at positions 592 to 1497 of the family's 1533-position model. The record is from RNAcentral.